UGCACUUCCUUAUACAUUUUGUCAAUGUGAACUUCCUUCAAGGCAGUGGGUUAGUUUAACUUUCCAGACCGUAUAUUCUUUUAAUCAUUCCUAAUUUGAUUGAGCACAAUGAAGGAGAAAAUGGUAUUCUUUAUUUUUUUUUGUUCAUUCGGGCUGUCACUGCCUCAACAGGGUCUGUGGUGGUUUGCCCCAAUGAUCAAGUACAAACAUCAGUCAGUGGGUCUGUGAUCCUGCAGUGCCACCUAGUUUUCCCAGUAAAUGUGAAAAACAUGACAGUGGAGUGGAGUCACAGGCACUUUAAUGACACUGUUCUUCUGUAUCAAAACAAAAAGGACAACCUUCGAGAGCAGAACAACACCUUUACAAACAGAACGUAUGUCUACUAUCAGGGUCUGAGAAAAGGAGACCUGUCACUGUUGCUGUUCCCCGUACAGCUGUCUGACAGCGGAACAUACAGAUGUUCCUUUCAAAAUGAAAAACUGCAGAAAAGCUGUUAUGUUAACCGUCACUGUUACAGAAAACAAAUACUACGAGUAUCGGACAAGUAUGGAUUGGAAAACUAAAACUUUGAUCAUUUGGGGGGCUGCCAUUGCUGCCGUCAUCCUUUUUCUAAUUUUUGUAAAAGAGUGUUGGAAGAAAAAUGGACCACGACGUGAGUCAACAUUUAGAUUCCCAUGCUUAGUCCGAAACAUUGUGUGAAACACAUCCUCUGUUUAGAGUCUUAGUGUAUGUUGUGUUUUGUUUUUUGUCGCACUAUUCUAGUCAAUCGCUUGCUGCAGAGCAUCAACCAAGACGUUAAAACUGGCUAAACCUGAAGAAUUGAAGAAUUGAAGAAUUUUUAAUAACUGGUUGAACCACAUUUGGCAACGAGAACCUUAACUGAACUCUUCCUGUAGGAUUAAACCUGUGUCUGAAUGAGUCUUUUGAGGUCUAUCUAUAAUACAUUUACAGUACUUAGAUUUCAGAGUCAUUGUCCUGCAUCGCUCAGCUUCUUUUGAGCUUCAUUUAGGAACUUCAUCAUCUAGUCCAUAUCAUUUUUAAAGAUGCCUAAAAAGAUUACUCUGGAAUAGCCAUGAUGAUUGGGCCCUCAAGAACAACUGAAUUAACAACAGGCAUAAUUCUGUGGUGGAAAUCAUUGCAUACAUGUUCUUGUCCUUCUCAACAUGCAGUCCAAGUACUUUGACAUCAAUACUUAACUCAAAUGGUCAAAGGUCACAAAGCCCUGAUUACAACCCUGUUUCUUCUUCCUCAGGUCUCCUGAAGUGAAACAGAGACAAAACAGAAAAGGUCUGAACAGUAAACUCAUUUAAAUUUUGUAGAAUUUGUAUGAACUUUAAUGUCUUAACAAGGAAAUUUAGACAAAAUUGAGCUAUUGUUGGAGAUUUAGUUGUUGAACUUUGAUUACCUCUAGCUUGAACUUUAAAAAAUAAAAAAUCUGUCUAACUAUAUCAUCUCUAUCUAUUGGUGAUUAUGGUAUGAAAUGUGCUUUUAGCCUUUAUUUCUGUAGCUACUGCAAGAAAGAACAAGUAGAACAAACAAUAUAUGUUGAUGGAGAAGGACACAAAUUGACUCCACCCAAGUGUGUUGGCAGCCAAAAAUACAAGCUGCAUGAGUCAUAAAACAUCCCACAGCCCGGAUUGCUUUCUUGUGAGCUAACAUCAUUUACAUUUACAUUUACAUUUACAUUUAGUAAUCUAGCAGACACUUUUAUCCAAAGUGACUUACAAGUGGGGAACAACAUCCUCAAGUCUGUGUUUUCUUUUUAUUUAAAAGAUAAGUGUUUUGCACAAAAAAUUAAAAAGCCUUUUAUUCCACAAUUGUGUCUGUAUUCUUUUUCAUCUUCUGUGUGGUUACUUGCUUCUCUUUCCCCUAUGAAAACAUGCUAAAUACAUCUUAGUGGACUCUUCCAUGCAUUUUCUUAAGUCAUCUGUUAUUUUUGAUGGAAUAUGAAAAUAUCCACCCUUUGUAACACAAUACACAAUGCCCGUUUUCUUUUUGUUCCACCCAAAUAAAGAUGAG
Anabas testudineus (climbing perch) is the source of this 2019-nucleotide long non-coding RNA. NCBI's taxonomy places the organism in Eukaryota, Metazoa, Chordata, Actinopteri, Anabantiformes, Anabantidae. The record is from Ensembl.